AUACGUAGGGGGCGAGCGUUGUCCGGAAUGAUUGGGCGUAAAGGGCGCGUAGGCGGCGCGGCAAGUCUGGAGUGAAAGUCCUGCUUUCAAGGUGGGAAUUGCUUUGGAUACUGCCGCGCUUGAGUGCAGGAGAGGUUAUCGGAAUUCCCGGUGUAGCGGUGAAAUGCGUAGAGAUCGGGAGGAACACCAGUGGCGAAGGCGGGUAACUGGACUGCAACUGACGCUGAGGCGCGAAAGUGUGGGGAGCAAACAGGAUUAGAUACCCUGGUAGUUCACACUGUAAACGAUGAAUACUAGGUGUGGGGGGACUGACCCCCUCCGUGCCGCAGUUAACACAAUAAGUAUUCCACCUGGGGAGUACGAUCGCAAGAUUGAAACUCAAAGGAAUUGACGGGG
RNAcentral lists this ribosomal RNA (396 nucleotides) under uncultured bacterium. Its description in RNAcentral is "partial 16S ribosomal RNA". It matches the Rfam family "Bacterial small subunit ribosomal RNA", at positions 523 to 918 of the family's 1533-position model. The record is from RNAcentral.